RNAcentral lists this ribosomal RNA (359 nucleotides) under uncultured bacterium. RNAcentral describes it as "bacterial SSU rRNA". It matches the Rfam family "Bacterial small subunit ribosomal RNA", at positions 137 to 510 of the family's 1533-position model. The record is from RNAcentral.
AGGGGGACAACAGUUGGAAACGACUGCUAAUACCGCAUAAGCCCACGGUACCACAUGGUACAGUGGGAAAAGGAGAAAUCCGCUGAAAGAUGGACUCGCGUCUGAUUAGAUAGUUGGUGGGGUAACGGCCUACCAAGUCGACGAUCAGUAGCCGGACUGAGAGGUUGAACGGCCACAUUGGGACUGAGAGACGGCCCAGACUCCUACGGGAGGCAGCAGUGGGGAAUAUUGCACAAUGGGGGGAACCCUGAUGCAGCGACGCCGCGUGAAGGAAGAAGGUAUUCGUAUUGUAAACUUCUGUCGCAGAUGACGAAAAGAUGACGGUAAUCUGUAAGAAAGCACCGGCUAACUACGUGCCA